Molecule: long non-coding RNA, 419 nt
Filed under: Triticum aestivum (bread wheat)
Lineage: Eukaryota; Viridiplantae; Streptophyta; Magnoliopsida; Poales; Poaceae
Description: long non-coding RNA (TAES_LNC028099)
Source: RNAcentral
GCUAGGGAAACUCAUGGAGAAAAGAAGACAAAGUUCUUCAGUUAACAUUGACUGACUGAAUAUCUACUGAUUUUUUCAGUUAACUCAUGGAGCAAAUCCUUACAGUACCUUCUUCCUGAUGAAUGUAGCUCUGGCGGCAGCACGGGCAGACAAGCAGCAGCAGUACGGGUAGACGAGCAGCAGCAGUACGGGUAGAUGAGCAGCAGCUGUACAGGCAAAGGAGCUCCACCGGCGGCAGGGGACAAGCAUCCGCGCGGGCGCGCGGGCAGGGGAGAAGGAGCAGCACGAGCUUGCGCGGGAGAUUGAAGAAGACGCGCGGGAGAUCGAGGAUCACACGCGCGAGCUCCCGGUCCACUAGAUCGUGGCGGCAGGCUCCGGCGACGCCGGUAGGGGAUCGCGGCGGCGCACGCGUGGGAGCU